This 214-nucleotide long non-coding RNA is filed under the name Lathyrus oleraceus (garden pea). Its description in RNAcentral is "Pisum sativum (pea) long non-coding RNA (PSAT_LNC042016)". The record is from RNAcentral. Lineage: Eukaryota; Viridiplantae; Streptophyta; Magnoliopsida; Fabales; Fabaceae.
AAAACCGAUCUAAUAUAUUAAAGACCCUAACACUCCAAUCUUAAAUUAAAUGCUACUCUCGAAGAAUCAGAGCCCAAGGAUUGGGGCUCUGAUUCCCUUCGCUUCCCUCUACAUUUUAGUAACAAGAAGUUGAAUUAAAGCGGAAGUUCCAAGAAUUACCUUGUCGGAGGUGACGAAGACAACGACGAUGAUGAGCUUCUAGGUAAAUGGUCCU